CAAGGUAGGUGCUAAAGGUGUAACACACCCUGGACGCUUUUUGCAAAUUGCGAGCCGUUCGAGUAGUUUGGAUCUGUCGUCCCGAUGCUUUUCCAGAUUUCUGGUGGGUCGUAGACAAGUGUCCGACCUAUAUGGCUUCAUAUGCAUCGAGAAUUGUAGUAUUUUUAUGUUCGGCUAAACCGACUAUAGAGUUAGACUUAGCCUACCCUCGAUUGCAUUCUGCACAUGGUGAAAGGCCGCGUGACAUGUCGAUGUGGUUGUAUCCGCGGUACACCAUUUUGUUACCGGUACCGUUGAUGGCUGUACCGCCGUACAGCACCUUGUGCCCGAAUUUCAAACCGAGCCUCGGUAGCUUUUCGUUGGGAUUUGUAGCCGGUACACCUUUCCCGUGUACCGGUCACACCUUCUUGGCAGUUUCGAAUAGUUCGGACUGCAGGGUGUUUUUGCUAAUUCGUAACAACUGCUAUAAAUACGCCCUAUCCCCUUGUGUUCCCCCAUGAGCUUGGAAGCAGGGAGAGCCAGGUAAGGGAAAGGUCUCUUUCUCCCGUCUUUGUUCCCUUUGAAUUUACUGUUGGGUUUUUGAUUGAUUAAACUCUCCUUUUGCCUCUGCUUUUUGGCAUAUUUUGGUUGCUUUCCUCUUAAUGAAGAAGUUUGGGCUUGGGUGUUUUGAGCUUGUUGGAGGUAGGAGCCUCAACCCUUAGCUGACAUUUCUAGGGUGGUUGGGAGCUUCUCUUGAGGUUAGUUGCUUACUAAUUCCCUUUUGAUCAUGAUUUCCACGAUUUUUGUAUACAAACCCUAGAAAUGGGUAUUUAGGGUUUGUUUUGGGGAUUUUUGAUUAGAGGCUUUUGUAGCCUAAUUGAUCUUAUUAGAACCUUUGUCUAGGUUGCAUUGGAAGGAAUUUAGCUCUCUUUUGGAGCUUGAGAGGGAUUUCCACCACCAUAGGUGAGUUUUGGCCCUUUCAUUGAGUUGGUUAAUGUUUAACGUAUUCGUUGUUCGUGAUGCUCGUGUAUCUCUUCGCUCCUUACUUUUAGGGUACUUAGAGACUCGUGGACAACUCCGUUCGGCGAAUCGAAGGAUUCCGAGACGGUUCGGUGGGUUUGGCCUCACCAAAUGAAACAAAAUUCUCUUAUGAUGGUUUUAUUUAUCGUAAAAUGAAAAUGCAUGCAUAUUCAUGCUAGAUAGAUUAAUUGUGAAUUUUAGAAUGCUUAAAAAUACGCACGUUAUGUAUAAUGCAUUUUCGAACCUCUAUGUAGUAGAGAGCUUGCAUGUGAGACUUGUGCAUGGGUUUAGCAUUCUAAUUGGGACUUGGAAUCAUACUUCUUGUAGUAGUCAUGACAAAUAUAAUGUGCCUUGGACAUAAACCUCAUUGGGACAUAGGAGAAUAUUUUGGGCCAUAAAGUGGCUUUAGAUUUGAAUAUCUUGUGAGGUAGGAAGCUAAUGUUGUAAUGCGACGUCGGGCUCAAACUAUAAGUGAGCCUAGCAAGUAAUGCCAUAGAGAGGCAUUAGACUCGAGCGAUAUAUAAAUUGCAUGUGCAUGUUAAUAUUAUGAAAAUUAUGUUAAGUUGGUUGUUACAUCGAAAUCAUAUGCUAGUGGAUAGAUGCAUGUUUAUACUUAUACGCAUUGUGGGAUACAGGCUAGGCACAUAUUAGCAAUGUGAGAUCAUGCUUGAGAGCACCGUGCAUUAACCUAGAACGGGUAUAUUAAGCUAAUGUCAUAAAGAGGCAUUAGGCUUAGGUUUGGUGUAGUAAGCUAAUGUCAUAAAGAGGCAUUAGGCUUAGGUUUGGUGUAGUAAGCUAAUGUCAUAAAGAGGCAUUAGGCUUGGGAUACGUAUGGACUUAGUCAGGCUAAGGUCACAUGAGACAUUGAAUUAUUGAACGGUUAAACCUUCACUUGAGGCAUAGACUAGACACUGGGCUUGCUAGUGUGCAUUUCCAUGUUAGAGACAUGAUGACUGUUGAGUUGCAUUUCCAUGUUGGAGACAUGACGAUUGGACUAUUGAGGUUUUGACCAUGCUUGCUUGCCAUUUGUGCUCAUUCGCACAUGCUUGUGAGGGUCGCUCCCCACAAGCCGGCACUCCGGAGUUAGCCUACGCGACAUAUGCUCGCUCGUGCGGUAUUGAGAAGCCUACGGGGUCGAGUGGGACAGACACAUUCCAAGAGUAGGAAUGUUGGGCUACCACAGGCACUUAGGCGGCACAAGCCGGACUACACCCGUGUAGAUCCUGAAUGAGAUUGAACCAGAAUACUAAACAACAGGUUGACAAUCACUACUAGAUAGGUUAUAGUAGUUGGAUUUUCUUGACAUGCUAUGGCAUAGGGUUGGACUUUUGGGACAUUUAGUGUACUUGACAUUAUCGCUUAUUGCAUUGUAGUACACCUUGCUGCCAUGAUAGUACAUACUAGAUAUGUAGUGGGCUAUGGAAUAUAUAUCACACUUUAUAGCAUUACUUGUUGCAUCAUGAUACACUGUUUAAGUUUUGGGCAUAUUGGAUCAUGUAGAGUAGAUGUACUCCAUGUUGACAUUCAGAAUACUUGUGGCAUAGUAGAGUAGCAUUUUAAUUUCAUGCUUCAAUUACUGUUGAUAUUUUCCUGUUAUCAUUAUUUGCUCGUUUUGGGCCUAGUGGUGCAAUUUGGUGCAGGUCAGUAAUUGCCCACUGGGAACUAUAAUUUAUAGUUCUCACGCCCCCUGUUUUAUAUUUUCUUUCAGAGCCUUCCACUCCGGGAGAGGCUCGGGAUCGCGGGAAAGGUUUCGCCUCGAGUUAGCUAUCGAGGGACUUGGUGAUAGGUGGUCCACCUCUCUUUUGUUUUCUUUUGUAGAGGUUAUGAGAGUUUUGUACCUGGUUAUAGAGACCACCCUAUUUUUGUAUCUUGAGAUUUAUGAUGUAUUAGUUUACUUUAUGCUUUAGUAGUAUGAUUUUCUUUUGAUUCUACCUGAUGUUAGAACCUAGCUAUAUACUUGCUCUGAUAUCUCUAGUUGCAGAUCUUCUCAUUCUUUAUUCUUCCGCUUUUGUGUAGACGCCUUAUAUGUGUAGACAUAUGGCGGGUCUGAGCGCGCACCGGGCGGGCUUAUGCCGGGUCCCGGGGCGUGACAAAAGGAAUGCUAUGCAACUCGGCGAACUGCCGAUCAAUAAAAGAAUGCGAAGCACCAGUAUCAAAUAAAGCACGAACACGAAUAUCAUAAAGCAUAAUGAUACCUGCUACGACCUCCUGUGCUGCUGCGACGCCCUCAGUCUGGGCGGCAUACAUCCGCCCACUCGAACCCUGCUGCGAACUCUCCGACUGCCGCUGUCCUGAUGGUCGCCUAGACUGAUAGGGUGCUGUCGAGGUCCCCUGGCUCGGAGCUGAAGAUGUAGGUGCAGAAGCGGACGGGGGUGCCGGCAAAGAACCUCUCGGGCACUCUGACCGAAAGUGGCCCUCCUGGCCGCAGAGAAAGCAUCUGCCCCCACGCUGUGGACACUGUGGCGGUACAUGAGGCCCACCACAGAUAACACAACGCGGCGGUCGACGACGCUCGGGUGCUCCACGGGGCGCUGAAGAACCUCGACCCCUCGACUGGCCUGAUUGUCCCCUCGGAUACUUUGGUGGUCUCCUAAAGGAUUGCUGACCACUGCUCUCAACUGCAGGUCUCUUUCCUUUGCCUCGGUCCACAACAUCUCUUUCCUUCAUAAUUUCGGCCCCUUUCUCCACGAUCAAGGCCCGGUUCACGACAUCCCUGUAAGUAGAGAGGUUUGACGCCUGGACCAAUCUGAAAAUCGUAGGCCGCAAACCCACCUCAAAGAUACGAGCCUUAUCCUCAUCAUCUCUAACCACAAAAGGAACACAGUGUAGUAAUCGUGAGAACUCUCGCUCAUACUCAGCCACUGUCCUGUCCCCCUGUCUCAAGUUCCUCAGAUCCCUUUCCAUCUGCCUCUUCACACUCUGUGGAAAAUAGGUAGUCAACAACAAUUCCUUGAACCUGUUCCACGUGAUAGCAGACAAAUCAGCACGGGGAUCCUCCCGGAUGUCCACCCACCACCUGUAAGCCUCGCCGUCAAGGUGGUGUGUCGCAAACCAAACCCGGUACCGCUCCUCAACAAAGGUAUCAUAGAAUAGCUUCUCCAGGUGCAUUAACCAUUUCUCGACCACCCAGUGAUCCGCUUUCUCCCCAUCAAAGAUACGAGGGUUGCAGCGACGGAAUUCAUUUAAUCGUUCCAUCAUCCGCUCUCGCUCCUCAACCCCUACCAUCUCCGGCAACACUGUCCCUGUCGUAGCUAUAAGCACGGGUGGUACAACUGUCUCCUGUCGGGGCUCUACCCCGGAACUACUAGGGGUGUGUCAGGCACAGGUGACGGGGCUCUCACAGUCGCGCCCCUCUCUGGUGCUGUAGGUACGAAAUCUGGAGGUACAGAAUCUGGAAUCUCUCUGUCGGUCGUCUGCCGCAGUAACAGAUCCUCUAACCUCUUCAUCCUAUCCUCCUGUCGUCGCGCGGCAUCCAUCUGUUGUCGCGCUGUCGAUGCCUGCUGUGUCACUAGCUGAGUCAACACUGCGAGCUGAUCCUGCAACUCGCGGAUCUCACUAGAUCCAGAAGUAACGGAAGUCUCUACUUCUUCCGCAGCGGCCGCCUCAGCCGCCCCGGCGGUUCCAGAACGAGUCGUAGGCAUCUUAAACUGCAACACAAAAACAAACAUAGGUCAAUAAACCCUAUACUAUUGAACCCUCAUUGAGGAUAUAAACCAACUAAUUAAGCGAAAGUAAUGAAAUGUAACGCGUACUAACUUCCGAUGUCACGUUGUCGGCCGCCAACGUGGCCCUCUGCAAAGUUAGUAAUUGCACAUUCCGAUCAAACUCCUACCAUUCGGAGUUUAUAGAUACCCAAUCAAAGUACUUUCGCUAACAAUAACCUCAACUAGACUGCGUCUCUCACGAGCCUAUUCUUAUAGUCCAACUAGCCUAAGGUUUGCUAGGUCUACUAAGACUCAACCCAAGGCUCUGAUACCACUAUAAUCUGUCACGCCCGGGUAUCAGCGGAAGCAUAUCCGGUACGUGUACAGACCCGCCAUACACCUGCAGUAUAUAAGGCGUCUACAAGAACACAAGUCGAUAGGAAAUAAAACAAAGAAAGUCCUAUCCUGAUAUCAGAGCAAAGUACAAGUCCACAAUACUAUCAGUAAAAGAACAAAGAGUAUACAAUCCAAAAUCUCAGCAAAAAGGAGAAGAGAUCACAACUAUAGUAUCUGGUCCAACCAGUAAAUAUACAUCACAGGUAUACAAAAGUAGAUACACUGGUAGUCUCUCUAUACAUAGGGACAUCACCCUCGGCCGUAGCCCGAGUAACAAGGUGAUCGACUAGCACUCUCCUAAUAGUCCCUAGCUAGGCGCGACUCCCUUGCCACGAUCCCUAGCCUCUCCUGUAAUAGGCUCUGUAAAAACGACCACCAAAAGGGCGUGAGAACUAUAAACAAUAGUUCCCAGUGGGUAAGCCGCCAGCCUCGGCGAAUUACACCACUAGGCUCAUGAUGUACUAAAUGAAAGAAACAACAAUAAUUGCAUGAUUUAUAAGCAUGAUGCUAACAAGUAAUGAGCAUGUAAUCAACAUGUAAUAGCUUUCUACAGUAAUGAAUCAUCUGCAUAAUAGAGAUAUAACAACUUCGGUAAUCAUGAACAUAAACAUGAAUAUAAGAGUACUACUGUACACUUUAACUAGUAAGCAUUCAUUACUGUCCUUUGUCAUUUAGUACUUUCACCUCAAAAGAGUUUUCCUUUCAUUCACAGGGAUCUACUCAAGGUAGUCCAGCUUGCGCCGCGCCUAAUGGCCUCGUGGUAGUAAACACUCCCCACGGCAAACCACUUCGGCACCCAAUCCCGCACGGGCGAGCAACUGUUGCGUAGGCUAACUCCGGAGUGCCGGCUUGUAGGGAGCUACCCUCACAAGCAUGUGCGAAUGAGCACAAUGGCAAGCAAGCAAGGUCCACAAUCCAACAAGUCUCAGCUAUCACAAUUAGCUCACACUAUUCUCGCUCUCGAUCCUUUGAUCGGGAUUUCAAUAUAACCAAUAUUAACAACGACUAGUAUCCACUAGAUAACAACUAUGUGAGAGUAAUGCUAGUUCAUAUAUGGCAUUAGAGUCUUUCCACUAUCAUGGCACUAUCAACAUAGUCACAUGGCAUGUCAGUGUUCUCUACUUUACAAAAGCAUCAUUAGUAUAUCCAUUAGUUAACUUAACUAAUUAUAAACAUAAACAUGAGCAUAAAGACACUUAUGCAUGAGUGCUCUCUACUUCAUAGAGGUUCUAUUUCCAUUAUGUUAAGCCUUAUCGCAAGGAUGUUCCCAAUUCUUUAGCAACUACCUAGUGACAAUACACACAUGUAUAUCAAUUCUCUAUAGUGACAUAUAGAACAUAGAGGAGCUUCACUUGCUCUGGUUAGGUCCGACCCACCUCGUAUUAAGCUCAAAUCAGUCACAAGAUGUCCCAGGAAUCAGCCCAACAAGGUCCCAAUCCUGUUGAAAACAAAGUAACAAAACCACGUCAAAAUGACGACCGAAAUAUCCGAUUUCGGCCUAAAUUACCCUUAGUACAAGGUAAUAGCUUGAAUCCCUGCUUUGGGGCAAGUUCAAUACCUCAAGAUAAGUCUCCAAAAGCUCUCACAAGUCAGCUAAUGACGAUCCAAGGCUCGUUCGCACUCUCGCUGCGAACAACAUCGAAACAGCAUCAAAAUUAUCAUAUAUUAGCAAAUAUAGUCGGAAUCUUGCGAAUUCAGUUUUCUAACUGAAAUUCCUGCUUACCUCAAGUUAGAACACUUCUAGACCAGUCCCCAAGGCCACCAAUUAAGCUCAAUGGACUCAGGAAACCUGCUGCGAAGAUACCAAUUCCAACUUGCAUCAAUUAUGCAAUUAGACGUCGUAUAGUCCCGAAUUCGCAUUAUAGUUACUCAUUACUUAUUCAAGUGGCAAAUCAGCUUAUCCCAGGG
Molecule: long non-coding RNA, 6947 nt
Filed under: Ananas comosus (pineapple)
Lineage: Eukaryota; Viridiplantae; Streptophyta; Magnoliopsida; Poales; Bromeliaceae
Description: long non-coding RNA (ACOM_LNC038305)
Source: RNAcentral